CCACGGGUGGCACCAGUGGGAAUAUUGCACAAUGGAGGAAACUCUGAUGCAGCAACGCCGCGUGGAGGAUGACACUUUUCGGAGCGUAAACUCCUUUUAUAUAGGAAGAAGAAGACGGUACUAUAUGAAUAAGCGCCGGCUAACUCCGUGCCAGCAGCCGCGGUAAUACGGAGGGCACAAGCGUUACUCGGAAUCACUGGGCGUAAAGAGCGUGUAGGCGGAUUAAAAAGUCAGAAGUGAAAUCCUAUAGCUUAACUAUAGAACUGCUUCUGAAACUCUUAAUCUAGAAUAUGGGAGAGGUAGAUGGAAUUUCUGGUGUAGGGGUAAAAUCCGUAGAGAUCAGAAGGAAUACCGAUUGCGAAGGCGAUCUACUAGAACAUUAUUGACGCUGAGACGCGAAAGCGUGGGGAGCAAACAGGAUUAGAUACCCUGGUAGUC
This 438-nucleotide ribosomal RNA is filed under the name uncultured bacterium. RNAcentral describes it as "partial 16S ribosomal RNA". It matches the Rfam family "Bacterial small subunit ribosomal RNA", at positions 339 to 795 of the family's 1533-position model. The record is from RNAcentral.